RNAcentral lists this transfer RNA (73 nucleotides) under Cricetulus griseus (Chinese hamster). It matches the Rfam family "tRNA". Rfam says of the family: Transfer RNA (tRNA) molecules are approximately 80 nucleotides in length. Their secondary structure includes four short double-helical elements and three loops (D, anti-codon, and T loops). Further hydrogen bonds mediate the characteristic L-shaped molecular structure. tRNAs have two regions of fundamental functional importance: the anti-codon, which is responsible for specific mRNA codon recognition, and the 3' end, to which the tRNAs corresponding amino acid is attached (by aminoacyl-tRNA synthetases). tRNAs cope with the degeneracy of the genetic code in two manners: having more than one tRNA (with a specific anti-codon) for a particular amino acid; and 'wobble' base-pairing, i.e. permitting non-standard base-pairing at the 3rd anti-codon position. The record is from Rfam by way of RNAcentral. Lineage: Eukaryota; Metazoa; Chordata; Mammalia; Rodentia; Cricetidae.
GGGGAAAUAGCUUAGAGGUUAAAAGCACUGGCUGCUCUUCCAGAGGUUCUGGAUUCAAUUCCCAGCAUUCACA